UCCAAAACUCUCUUAUUUGAGUUCAAAAUUCUUCAAACAAGCUCUAGUGUCCACACCCAGUUUCAAGUUUAUAAAAUAUUGUAGAAAAAUACAAAUAAUGCUUGUAAAACUUGUAUUAGAUCAACAGAUUUCAUUUAAAUGCAAAAUUCUAAGACUCAAACAAGUUGGCAGGUUCGCUGUUCAAUUGCUUCUCAAAACUCAGAACUUCGGCAACACCUUGAGCACUAAAUUCAGCAACAGUAGGCACAGAAAUUUUCAGCUCAGAAUGACGACCUCAACUGUAGAAAUAAUGCAUUAGAAUCACAGCAAUAUUGAGUCAGAAUAACCACAGAGUACAUCUGAAUAGUGCAGGAUCUGCUUUCAAAAAAGAACAGCUUAAAACUUAUAUUUCAACAGUGUAUUGUUGGCAUAUAAACUGAAGCAAUGCAGUUGAGUCAACUGAAGCUAAAACUUUUGCAAAACUCCCCCAACUGUUAAGAAAAACUAUAGUAACAACAAUCAAUUAAAUAAAUGUGGAAAUCUUCAUUGUUGAGCGAAAAAUGAACAAUGCAGGGCUGUGAAAAAUCAACUGUUAAGAAAAACUAUAGUAACACAAUCACUUAAAUAAAUGUUGAAAUCUUCAUUGUUGAGCGAAAAAUGAACAAUGCAGGGCUGUGGACAGCAAGUACGAAACCCUUUACAGCAACAGAAAACAAGCAGUAAAUUAUUUUCCAGCAAACAUGCAACUUCUGUCAACAGAUUCUAACCAAAUGGACAAUAGUUUAUGUAACAAGGGAACUCAAUUCAACAAGGAGAACAUUUUAGAAAUAAAACCCAAAUUUCAAACUAUCACUGCUAAACUCGAGCACAAUCUCAACUAACAUAAAUUUCCGACAAAUUUCGUUUACUGUAUGUUCAACCAAAUCACAGUUCAAGCAUGCUUAAUCUCUAGUCCCACUGAAUCCACUCUAUUAAACUCAACAAUAAUAACAACUAUUAGAAACCAGUGGUAACAAGUUCAAACUAGGAGAAUUUCAGCUAUCAAUUUACUCCAAAACUUCACAAAUAGUGGCAAAAUUUCAACAAACAAGCUUCAAAUCUUCGCAGUCAUACUGUCAUAGCACAAAGUGUACAAUGCAUGAUUUACUUUCAAUCAUGGCCCCACCAACAAUUUGUAGAUUGAGAUAAAAUCACAAAAAUGCUCCAAAAAAUAAAGACUGAUCUCAAUAGAACUUUCGUCAGCAUAAAAGAAGUUUGACAAGAGAAUUCCAACUUGAACUCUAAAAUUUCAAUAGUAGAGUCCAUUGACACAACUCAAUUCACACAAUUCUCAACAAGCAGCUUCUGAAUUCGAAAACUAAUCUAUGUGGCUAAAAGUGGCUAGAAGUGUAAAUUUUGGCUAUGACCCCGCAAAGCCAAGAACCUAAGAUUUACUAGGAAGACCGGACCCUAUGCGGGUUGUCUACGUAUCAUGCCCCGAAAGACGAGAAUCAGGUUUGCAUAGUUCGAAAAAAUUGGAUACAUACAAGAAUAAAAAGAACAACUAAUUUUUAAAGAACACAUUUUCUUUUGUUUUUUUUUUAAAAAAAAUGAAACAUGUAAACUCUUUUUGGAAUUUUUUUCUUUUUUUUUUUGAUUUUCAGGAAAUAAUAAAAAGUGCAAUAUUGUUUUUGAAUUUUUCACAUAUCCUUUGUCUCUUUUUUUUAACAAAAAUAUAACAAAAACAUAACUAAAUCCUAAUUGCUUUAUUUUCACACUUCACCCACUUUUCUUUUCAUUUAUUUUUUUUUUCAUUUACCCUCAGCUAUCAUUGGUCCGCCAAGUGACCCUUUCACCCUUGAAAAAAUACAAUAUGUGGCAUAUAAAAUGCAUCAGGAUGGUCUUUUAAAUUGGGUACACCUGUCCUAGACGGACUCAACUCCUGUAUUGAGUCCCCUAAGUCAAAUGCAUGAUGCAGAUAAGCGUUCCUACAAUGGAUCCGGUAUGAGGUUUUGUUAUUCUACAUUCAAAACCUGGGUAUAUGUUCUAGACGGCACCCGAGCAGACAACUCGGGUCGAGUUGGGGGCUACGUACCGGAACCAAAAGGCCAUCCGGCUUUGUAACUUGUCCGAGCCUCUUUCUUAUUUUCAGGUAUAACACUAACAGAAUAGGGACUCUCAACCAGCAAGCACAUCCCCCGAGGUGAGAAGAGAAGAGUUUCGCGGCAAUUAAUAUACAGUCCAAAUAAUAUAAAAGCGGUAAAGACAACUUUUAGCACAUCAUGCAAUAAAAUCAUAUAAACAAAGCCAAAUACAGCAAUUAUUUAAAGCUCGAAUUCUUGAACCCUCAACCAGAGAUAAAUAUCCUCCCCAACAGAGAUGCCAGAACUGUCACACCUUCUUUUGGCCACUACAACAUGGCGAAAGGCGUAGAUAAGGGACUUUUUCUAAUUAAAGGACAAUUGAAACGGGAUUUAAUUAUUUAAAAGAAUUCAGAGUCACCACUUGGGGAGAUUUAUAGUGUCCCAAGUCACCGUUUAGAAUCCCGAAUCGAGGAAAGAAUGACUCUAUUUAACAGUCCAUGAACCAGAAAUCGGGUAAGGAAUUCUCUUAGCCUAGGAGAAGGUGUCAGGCAUUCCCAGAUUCCGUGGUUCUAGCACAGUCGCUCAACUGCUAUAUUUGGCUUGAAUUAUCUGUUUUUAUACAAUUAUGAACCUAUGUGCAUUUUAAAUCUUUUAACCACUUUUAUUAAUAUCAUUUUUAGAGAGAAUUGCAACGUCGUUAAAACUUGUCUCGAGUCACGCCACAUAAAUGCACCCGUAAUUCUUAACACAUUUCAACUUCGUCGGGAUUUGGAUUUUGGUCACAUAAAUGUGCACCCAAAUUUAGGAAAGUAAUGUUAUUAAGCACGCACCUAGAGCAGCUACGCAUUAUUAACUUUGCGAGUGCCAUGGAAUUUGCUAAAUGACACGCCUCAAAAUCUAAGGAUAAACAUUAUUAAUUCAAAUGAGGGCCAUGCAUUUGAGAUUUUUGUUCGGUACGGCACACCUCAAUUUAUUUUGAAAACCACAACUAUUAUUUUUUCUAAAUUUGAUAUUAUCACGAAGAGUUAUGGAGAUUAAUUGUGACAUACGGGUAAGCCUCAAACUGAUUUAAUCGUAAUUAAAAAUUUUCCAAAAUCUAACAAAUCACAGUCACGUCACAAUGAAUAAACUAAAACAAUUGCUAACUAACACUCAAAAUGACGCCACUUAAUAUUACUAAAGAAAAAAAUACAAAGAUACUACAUGAAACACCUUUCAUCAAACAAACUUUCCAUGAAAUAGUUGGCAAUUAACUCUAUGUGUAUGCUUAAUCGGUUAAUUCAAAUCGGAUAUCAAAAAAUUCGAAACGCACAACAUCACACUUUCAACAAAGAAAUGGUGAAGUAGCUUCAACUGGGCUCCAACCAUGUGACAGAAUAUUUAACAAAACAGUAUGGUCCAAUAAUUGGCCCAGAUCCACGAAAAUCGCGCGAUUACCAGAAUUAUAUUCUACUCAUCUCAGCUUGAAUGUAUUAAACAGAUAUUAACAUUUAGAGCUGAAAUCGAAAUAACGAACGGACCUCAAAUGGAGACAAUCUGAACAAAGACGACAACAAAUCGGACGCGAAACCACGAACCUCGUCCUCGAGCAACACAGCUGAACCAAGCUACACCAACAAAGCUUCACACAAAAUCCAUGAAUGAAAAUCAAAACCAGAAACUGUUAUUUUUGACUCUCUGUAUGUGUGUGUGCGACUGAAAAUUGGUAGGAAGAGGAAGGUCCAAUGGUGUGUUUACUGUCGAUUUCCCAACCCCUGCUAUUUUGUUUCGCUUCAGUCCAGAAGAGAGGUGAGAGCUCGUCGUGGGUGUAUGUUGUUGCGGUGUGACUCGUUUUCCGGCGAGGGUGUAUGUGUGUGUUUGUUGGAUUCCGGUGAGCUGGGAGGUUAAUGGAGGAGAGGACACUGAAGAGAGGGGUGGGUCGUUUGGAGAAGAUGGGAGAACCGCUGGAGAAGACGACACCAGGGGGGUCCGUCCUUUGUUUGUCCUCUGCGCAACCGCGCCUCUUCCAGGCGUGUAUUGUAUCGUGUAUAGGUGUAUGUUUGUAAUGUGUAUUAGGUAUUUAGGUGGGGAAAUGGGUUUAGUUGUUUGGUCGGAUCGGGUCGACCCGGUUUGGG
RNAcentral lists this long non-coding RNA (4156 nucleotides) under Nicotiana benthamiana. RNAcentral's name for it is "long non-coding RNA (NBEN_LNC036343)". Lineage: Eukaryota; Viridiplantae; Streptophyta; Magnoliopsida; Solanales; Solanaceae. The record is from RNAcentral.